RNAcentral lists this ribosomal RNA (466 nucleotides) under uncultured bacterium. Its description in RNAcentral is "partial 16S ribosomal RNA". It matches the Rfam family "Bacterial small subunit ribosomal RNA", at positions 28 to 507 of the family's 1533-position model. The record is from RNAcentral.
GACGAGCGCUGGCGGCGUGCUUAACACAUGCAAGUCGAACGGUAAGGCUCCAGCUUGCUGGGGUACACGAGUGGCGAACGGGUGAGUAACACGUGGGUGACCUGCCCUGCACUUCGGGAUAAGCCUGGGAAACUGGGUCUAAUACCGGAUAGGACCAUGGUGUGGAUACUGUGGUGGAAAGUUUUUUCGGUGUGGGAUGGGCCCGCGGCCUAUCAGCUUGUUGGUGGGGUAAUGGCCUACCAAGGCGGCGACGGGUAGCCGGCCUGAGAGGGUGGACGGCCACAUUGGGACUGAGACACGGCCCAGACUCCUACGGGAGGCAGCAGUGGGGAAUAUUGCACAAUGGGCGGAAGCCUGAUGCAGCGACGCCGCGUGGGGGAUGACGGCCUUCGGGUUGUAAACUCCUUUCACCAUCGACGAAGGGUUUCUGACGGUAGAUGGAGAAGAAGCACCGGCUAACUACGUG